CAAUAAAUAGCUUUCUUAGUGUUUCUAUGGUCAAAAUGUGUCACAAUCCAAAGCAUUUGACAAAUUAUAAGAGUUAUAGAUGGAUUAGGAGUGUUUAGACAACACUUAUACCUAUUUUCUCCUAAAAUAGGCU
This 133-nucleotide small RNA is filed under the name Arabidopsis thaliana (thale cress). RNAcentral's name for it is "ATSL034710". Lineage: Eukaryota; Viridiplantae; Streptophyta; Magnoliopsida; Brassicales; Brassicaceae. The record is from RNAcentral.